AUUGAACGCUGGCGGCAUGCUUUACACAUGCAAGUCGAGCGGCAGCACAGAGAAGCUUGCUUCUUGGGUGGCGAGUGGCGAACGGGUGAGUAAUAUAUCGGAACGGUACCGAGUAAUGGGGGAUAACUAAUCGAAAGAUUAGCUAAUACCGCAUAUUCUCUGAGGAGGAAAGCAGGGGACCUUCGGGCCUUGCGUUAUUCGAGCGGCCGAUAUCUGAUUAGCUAGUUGGUGGGGUAAAGGCCUACCAAGGCGACGAUCAGUAGCGGGUCUGAGAGGAUGAUCCGCCACACUGGGACUGAGACACGGCCCAGACUCCUACGGGAGGCAGCAGUAGGGAAUUUUGGACAAUGGGCGCAAGCCUGAUCCAGCCAUGCCGCGUGUCUGAAGAAGGCCUUCGGGUUGUAAAGGACUUUUGUCAGGGAAGAAAAGGCUGUUGCUAAUACCGACAGCUGAUGACGGUACCAAGAAUAAGCACGGCU
RNAcentral lists this ribosomal RNA (479 nucleotides) under Neisseria flavescens. Its description in RNAcentral is "bacterial SSU rRNA". It matches the Rfam family "Bacterial small subunit ribosomal RNA", at positions 30 to 498 of the family's 1533-position model. The record is from RNAcentral. Lineage: Bacteria; Pseudomonadati; Pseudomonadota; Betaproteobacteria; Neisseriales; Neisseriaceae.